Molecule: non-coding RNA, 656 nt
Organism: Cajanus cajan (pigeon pea)
Lineage: Eukaryota; Viridiplantae; Streptophyta; Magnoliopsida; Fabales; Fabaceae
Source: RefSeq, a predicted model, not a curated record
CAUGUUAACAUCCAUGAUAUAUGUUUUCCUUUUGUAGUCAUGUAUCAAGGUUGCGAUGGAUUUUGUGUCUCCUGAAAAUGUUGGGGAGUGCUUUCGUUUGACAGAGGAAUUCCGCACACUUCCAAUAAAUCAUAGGUCUAUUGAGGACAAAUUGGAGGUGAAGAAAAUGACAAUAUAUGCAAUGGAAGAUGCGAUUGGAAAGUUGGAGAAAGCAAGGCACAGGGUAACCAAGGUUCCAGAAUAAAUACAUGUAACAGAUCGAAGCCAAUUGAAAGUGUAAAAAUUGAAUCAUUAGCUUAUUCAAGUGUGAUGAUGUUGGUUUCUAUACAUGAUACUGACUUGUAACGGUGUACAUGUAGUUGUCAGUUUGUCACCACCUGCAUGCCUAGAGUCCCAAUUCUUUAGACCGAAUAAAAGAUGCUGAUGUGAGCAUAUUGUACUUUUCAACUUCUGAAUGGGGUUAGAGAUAAGAUUCUAAGUUGCCCCUAUUGCAUUAGAGUAAAGUAGUGUUGCAUUAGAGUAGUGUUGUAUAAACUGGUGUAUUAGUUGUAUGAAUAACGCAACUCAUUACAUUGUAUGUGGCAAAAUGUUGGGAAUGCUGAUUUAAUGUCAUUUCCAAAAGAGAAUACCAUUAAUUCUAGAUGGACGGAGAUGAA